AAACCAACAUGUAUUGCCCAGUACGGCGAGUGAAGCGGCAAGAGCUCAAAUUUGAAAUCUGGCCUCCCCCGGGGGUCCGAGUUGUAAUUUGCAGAGGAUGCUUCGGGCGCGGCCCCCGUCUAAGUUCCUUGGAACAGGACGUCAGAGAGGGUGAGAAUCCCGUCUUGGGCGGGCGGCCCGCGCCCGUGUGAAGCUCCUUCGACGAGUCGAGUUGUUUGGGAAUGCAGCUCUAAGCGGGUGGUAAAUUUCAUCUAAAGCUAAAUACCGGCCGGAGACCGAUAGCGCACAAGUAGAGUGAUCGAAAGGUUAAAAGCACCUUGAAAAGGGAGUUAAACAGCACGUGAAAUUGUUGAAAGGGAAGCGCUUGCGGCCAGACUCGGGGGGCGGGGUUCAGCGGGCGCUCGUCGCCCGUGCACUGCCCGCUCCCCGGGCCAGCAUCAGCUUCGACGGCCGGUCAAAGGCCCCCGGAAUGUGUCGUCUCUAGGGACGUCUUAUAGCCGGGGGUGCAAUGCGGCCCGUCGAGACUGAGGAACGCGCUCCGGCUCGGAUGCUGGCGUAAUGGCCGUAAGCGGC
RNAcentral lists this ribosomal RNA (573 nucleotides) under Trichophyton rubrum. RNAcentral describes it as "partial large subunit ribosomal RNA". It matches the Rfam family "Eukaryotic large subunit ribosomal RNA", at positions 62 to 648 of the family's 3401-position model. Lineage: Eukaryota; Fungi; Ascomycota; Eurotiomycetes; Onygenales; Arthrodermataceae. The record is from RNAcentral.